CGCGUAGGCGGCUUGUCAGGUCUGACGUGAAAUGCCGGGGCUCAACCCCGGACGUGCAUCAGAAACCGGCUUGCUAGAGUCUGGGAGAGGGAAGUGGAAUUCCUGGUGUAGCGGUGAAAAUGCGCAGAUAUCAGGAGGAACACCGGUAGCGAAGGCUGCUUCCUGGAACAGUACUGACGCUGAGGCGCGAAAAGCUAGGGGAGCAAAACGA
Molecule: ribosomal RNA, 211 nt
Filed under: uncultured bacterium
Lineage: Bacteria
Description: partial 16S ribosomal RNA
Rfam family: Bacterial small subunit ribosomal RNA
Source: RNAcentral